AUAUAUUAAAUGGGUAUCCGAAACCAAACCGAAACCGAACCGAAAUCGGACAAAAAUCUGAAAUGGACCAAUUGGUCAAAAAAGAAUCUCACACAUCCUAAAAAAAAUCUACAUGGACCAAGGAGAGCAAAAUGACCAUUUUGCCUUUAAUGAUGGCUCAAUAUGGACCACUAGAUCAGAUUAUCUCCCUUAUAACGUGAACCGUUAGAUCUUCAAAAGAAAAUGAAAGAGAUAAUUACAACAAUGCCAUUAAUGAAACUCAUCUUAGCCGUCAGAUCUUUUCUCUAUGUUAUAAUCUGAACCGUUCAGUCUCCCCAUUAAAUAUUUCUUUCUCUCUCGCCUGGGUCCCACCAUAAAUUUAAUCAAUCUUCUUCUUCUUCUUCAUUUCAUCCUCAACUACACUCAACCACCACGAAAAUUCAUUCCAUUCACCAACCAAAGCUCUCUUCUUCAACUCUCCAUCCACAAACCUUUACAUCUGUUUCUUAUGUCUUUCUACAACUUAUGACACCGUGAAAUAGCCCAUGUGCGUCGUCUUUGGUUAUGAAAUCGCUUGGCUUUCAUCCUCUUGAUGGAAAUACAACAAACAUUAGUAAGUUAUCUCUUCAUAUCAAAUUAUGCAAGUUUUACCACAUCCUUCUUGCAUAUGUGUUUACGAUUGGUCAAUUUCUUAUCUUAUUUUCAUGAAUGCUUAUGCAUCCUUUUCGAACUCAUGAUGAUUUUUACAUCAUUUUUUGCAUACUCUUCUAAAUGUCUUUCUACCGCAAAUUUCUGGCUCCAAGACUACUUUCUUCGGCUUCGUGACCAAAAAUAUGAUGAUGAUUUUUUUUCCGGAAAUGGUACAACUAGUAUAACUAAUACAAUUUGUAAACAAAUCAUUAUCAAAUCAAAUAUUAUUGAAAAUAAACUAUUUAUGUAUUUUGACACAUUCAAUCGGAUAAAGAUUAGACCAACAUGUCUGAGUAGUUCCAAAUCAUUCUAUCUUAUAGCAUCAUUCAUAAACUGAAAACAAAAACCAAAAUAUCACCAUAUUAAUUCCAAAGUUGUACCGUUUAUACUUGUUCUAGUUGUACUAGUUUUAUUAGUUUGAGUUGUAUUAGUUGUACUAGUGAUACUAGUAAUACUAUGCGUUCUUCUUUACCAUGAACUCGAACAUAAAACACUAAAUUCGAUUUCGAAUAACAUAGAAUUGAUUAAAUAUGACUAUGGGUUGAUCGUUUUGAGAUAAAGAAAAGAAAAUCAGUGAAUAUUUAAAUACAAAUUUUGAUUUUGUUUUUAAUUGAGGAAGUUAAAGAAACAUAAAUAGAGGAAGAGGAAGAAGAAGAAGAAGGAGAAGAAUUUGGGUUAAAACCGGGUCGGAUUAUUGGGUCAGAUUACUGGUUGGAUAGUAAUGACAUAGAUAGUAAAUAAGUUGAUGUCUUUUGAUUUUUUAGUUAUUUACCUUUAUUUUGUAUUUAAAUUUUAAUAUAAAAUAAAAAAAAAAAAAAGUGAGGGUCAAAUCAGAUUUUUUUUGAUCCAUGUGGUCCAUACGAGAAUUUUGAUCCACCGAAAUCUCAUAAGUACCUAUUGGAUAUAAAAAUGAUUUAUACGAUAUACCCGGAACCGAAUGGUUCCUAUCCGAAACCGAACUGAAUAUCCGAAUGCCCAGGGCUACCUGGUCCACUACAGGGACUGUGUCAUCUCCUUGAUACAUUAAUUACUAUUCUCGUUCGCGGCGCAUAAACCCUAAACCCUUUGAUCUUUUUCAGUCAGUUUUCAUUUUUCAACUUCACUUUAACCUCUCCACUUGCUGCUGAAUUAGUGUGAAUAAUGGGGAAAAGUCGGCGUAAAUAUAAGAUAAUACCUCCGCUGCUCCCGGAGCAAGCUAGAUGAAACAUAAACCUCAAGUUUUCAAAAUUUUUGAAAAAAAUAUAUAAAUAGAUCUCUAAAAUUGUUUUUAAUUGUUUAGUCCCCAAAAUCUCAAGGCAUGCCACUGCUGCAGCUUCACCCGGACGUACCUGAAGAGGAUAUUGAGUUCUCCGACUACGAUUUGAAGUUCGUCGAAGAGAACACUGAUUACGCCCCUAUUCGUCACUCGUAUUGACACCACUGCUAUUAACAGGCAAUGCGUUGGUGAACAAACGACAGUGGAGGACAGGUAUGAGGAAGAGAAAGGGAGUAGUAACGAGAUCCAAGUGGAUCCUGUUGAUGUGCUCCCUGUCAAGACUUAAGAUGGCAAACUCCACCAGCGAACUCUGACAAAGACGUCAAAACUAGCUAAGGGGGAUACUGAUGAAGCAGAAGAGGAUGUUAUUGAAGAUGAAAAUAUAUUGAACAAAUCUCAGAGGAGAGCAAAAGCUAAAAAGAGGCGAAAAAACAAGAGAAGGAAUUGCCUAAAGAGGAGGAAACACCUCAAGCAGCAGUUUUGGCAGAAUUGAACGGAGAAUUAUCUGCUGAAGAGACGUUUGAAAAUAAGAAAAACAAACUCGAGGAGUUGGGAAUGCAACUACUUUCUGAUCCUGAGGCAAACAUAAGAACCAUAAAGGAAUUUGUUCAAAAAAAAAAAAAAAAAAGAACCAUAAAGGAAAUGUUAGACAUCUCCAAAGAUGGGAAUAGAAAGAUAGUGAAACUUGGCUUGUUAUCUGUGUUGGCCGUAUUUAAAGAUAUUAUUCCUGGGUAAUUUUAUCAGACCUUUCCCCCAUUUUAUCUGCCAGCUAUUAGAAUAGACUUCCUACAGAAAAGGAGCUCGAGAUGAAGGUCUCAAAGGCAGUAAAGAAAACCCGGUUCUAUGAGUCAACUUUAUUAAAAGCCUACAAGGUAUGCAUGUCAAGUAUACUUGAUUCUUGAUUCUUGACUCUUGAUUCCUCUGAAUAUAUUUGUAACACAUAUGCUUUUUUGCUGCUGUUUGUCCUUGACAGUCAUAUCUGCAAAAGUUUAGUUGCAUUUGAAAAGCAGUCAGUCAGUAUAUAACCAGGUUGCCUCUCGGUGCAUUUGUACGUUGCUGGAUGCGAAACCACGGUAGUUGAAGCUCUGAUGUCACGUCUCCUUUUUUGUAUCUGUCUUUAGGUGUUCAUGUCCAUACGCUUUGACGAGGAUAUUGGAAAGCGUGACAGAGAUGAUGCCAAUAAGAAUAAAUUUAAGAAAAAUAAAAAAAGAAAUAUCCUAGUGGAGCAAAAUAAUGAGCAGGAAAACAAUGUCUAAGACCAGAGACGGGGUAUUUUACUUUCCUUUUCUGUAAUAGAUUAGAUGGUGCGAAAUUUGACGUUUUGACAUUGUUUUCCCUCGUUUUGGCAACUCUAUCUCUAUGACCAUAACAUCUAAAAUGGGUUCUGGUUCUUACUGUUCCUUUCAUCUAAACUUGAUGACAUUGUUCAGGUUCCUGCUGAUUACAAGGAAGUUACGUAUGAACCAGAUGUUAAUUUUUUUGGUUUUGUUUUUGUGGUAAUUUAUAAAUUAUAAUUGUUGCUUUAUUUAUUUUAUCUUUGUGGCUAACCAUAUUUUUUGACAUUAAGCUGAGUAAUUAAAACCUCCUAUCACCAAUAAUUUUACUUGGUUUGUAUUUGUUUUAGUAAUUAGUUAACGCUAUUAAUAACAUAUCUAAAAAUAAAAGUAAAACAUACUUCACAUUAUUUUUUAUUAUAAAAACUUCAUGUUGAUAAUCUUAUUACUCCAACAAAAAAAAAAAAAACAUAAAAAUGAAUAAUUACAUAGUUUUUCUGUUAGUUAUUGCUAUGUGUUCUUGGUCAAGUGAAGCUUGGAUAAAAGAAAAUUGCCCUAUAAAUCGUAUAAUGAUUACUAACCAACUCGGUGGUGGUCAAGUAUUGGGAUACAAGUGCAGUAAUUGGCUAAGUCAAAAUUGGCGAGGCGGUUUAAGCACUUUAAAUCAAAACAGAACUUGGGAAUUCGCCGAUGUUACUAAUAGAAGAGAAAGAACAAGAUGUAAUCAAAUACGUCAAUGGGCAGCUAGACCUGAUGGGAUUUGGUUCAGAAGAGAUCAUGACAAACCGUUAGGCCUUGUCCGCCCCUGGAAGAAAAGAUAGAUAUAACUUCUUCUUUUCCAUUUCCUAAUAUUGAAAUAAUCAGUAAAGAUCUAAUAAUAAUGUGCUAUAUUGUAUAUAGAAAAAAAUAUAAUAAUAGUGUAUAAGUUUAAGUAAUACUUAUACAUGUCGUUGUUUCAAGUUUGUAAACAACAACACAAUAUACGUAUUUUAUAAUAAUUCUUGUUUUGUAACAGAAAUGUCUACAUCUUUAUGCUUUUCUUUUUAGUAUGCAAAAGAAAUCAUGUUUAGAAUA
Molecule: long non-coding RNA, 4272 nt
Organism: Brassica napus (rape)
Lineage: Eukaryota; Viridiplantae; Streptophyta; Magnoliopsida; Brassicales; Brassicaceae
Exons: 6
Source: RefSeq, a predicted model, not a curated record